UACAGAGACCUCAAGCAUUAUCCGGAUUUAUUGGGCGUAAAGGGUCCGCAGGUGGCUUGUCACGUCGCUGGUUAAAUGUUGGGGCUCAACCCUAACACCGCCAACGAUACGGAUAAGCUCGAGCAUGGGAGAGGUACGCGGAAUUACUGGUGUAGUAGUAAAAUGCGUUAAUAUCAGUAAGAACACCAAAUGCGAAGGCAGCGUACUGGAACAUUGCUGACACUCAGGGACGAAAGCGUGGGGAGCGAAAGGG
RNAcentral lists this ribosomal RNA (253 nucleotides) under uncultured bacterium. RNAcentral's name for it is "partial 16S ribosomal RNA". It matches the Rfam family "Bacterial small subunit ribosomal RNA", at positions 524 to 776 of the family's 1533-position model. The record is from RNAcentral.